Molecule: non-coding RNA, 146 nt
Filed under: Oscillatoria sp.
Lineage: Bacteria; Bacillati; Cyanobacteriota; Cyanophyceae; Oscillatoriales; Oscillatoriaceae
Also listed under: 1 other name
Source: RNAcentral
CUAUUUAAUAUAAUUGUCGGUUCUGAUGGGGAGCAGCCAUCAGACGUAAGGGGGAAAGUCCAGUGUAAAUCUGGCGCUGUCCCGCAACUGUAAUGAGAGUUUCUUAUUCUCUGAGUCAGGAUGCCCGCCGAUAGUUUUCGAUGUUG